Molecule: ribosomal RNA, 392 nt
Filed under: uncultured bacterium
Lineage: Bacteria
Description: bacterial SSU rRNA
Rfam family: Bacterial small subunit ribosomal RNA
Source: RNAcentral
GACGAACGCUGGCGGCGUGCUUAACACAUGCAAGUCGAGCGGUAAGGCCCUUCGGGGUACGACGAGCGGCGAACGGGUGAGUAACACGUGGGUGACCUGCCUCUAGCUCUGGGAUAAGCCUGGGAAACGUGGGUCUAAUACCGGAUAUGACUCCACGGCGCAUGUUGUGGGGUGGAAAGCCUUGUGUGGCUAGAGAUGGGCCCGCGGCCUAUCAGCUUGUUGGUGGGGUGAUGGCCACCAAGGCGACGACGGGUAGCCGGCCUGAGAGGGCGACCGGCCACACUGGGACUGAGACACGGCCCAGACUCCUACGGGAGGCAGCAGUGGGGAAUCUUGCGCAAUGGGCGAAAGCCUGACGCAGCGACGCCGCGUGAGGGAUGACGGCCUGGUGU